GCGGGCUGCACGUAGUAGUAGGCACCUCCAGUGUAGUAGUCGUCAUCGACGGUGGCGUCUGGCUCCAGGGCUCCAUCGUCUGGUCGCAGCAACCGGGUAAAGAAAGGGGGAAAAGGGGGAACAAGGCAACCGUGAGUACUCAUCCAAAGUACUCGCAAGCAAGGAGCUACACUACAUAUGCAUGGGUAUAUGUGUAAAGGGCCAUAUCAGUGGACUGAACUGCAGAAUGCCAGAAUAAGAGG
Molecule: ribosomal RNA, 242 nt
Filed under: Triticum aestivum (bread wheat)
Lineage: Eukaryota; Viridiplantae; Streptophyta; Magnoliopsida; Poales; Poaceae
Description: partial small subunit ribosomal RNA
Source: RNAcentral